GACGUAGGGCGCGAGCGUUGUCCGGAUUUAUUGGGCGUAAAGAGCUCGUAGGCGGCUUGUUGCGUCGUCCGUGAAAACCCGUGGCUUAACUGCGGGCUUGCGGUCGAUACGGGCGGGCUGGAGUUCGGUAGGGGAGACUGGAAUUCCUGGUGUAGCGGUGAAAUGCGCAGAUAUCAGGAGGAACACCGGUGGCGAAGGCGGGUCUCUGGGCCGAUACUGACGCUGAGGAGCGAAAGCGUGGGGAGCGAACAGG
Molecule: ribosomal RNA, 253 nt
Filed under: uncultured bacterium
Lineage: Bacteria
Description: partial 16S ribosomal RNA
Rfam family: Bacterial small subunit ribosomal RNA
Source: RNAcentral